This is a long non-coding RNA of Drosophila virilis, 431 nucleotides long. RefSeq lists it as uncharacterized. The record is from RefSeq and is a predicted model, not a curated record. NCBI's taxonomy places the organism in Eukaryota, Metazoa, Arthropoda, Insecta, Diptera, Drosophilidae.
UGAGAUUGUUCAGUUUCCUUCGGAAGCUCAAAGACUCAAGGCAACAUUUGCCCGUUUAUUUGCAUUUUUAAUUUUGGUUGUCAUAUCUUUAUUAAAGAAGGUAUCGAAAAACAUAGGGACGGGCAUGAUUCAAGGGCAAUGUGAAACUCUGAGCCCGAAAGGUGCUCAAAACAAAGAUUAUUAUCAAAAGAAGUACUCAAGACUUUUCUUAACAUUGACCACAGAAAAUGUGAAAAGAAAACUUAUCGAAAUUAUCUCACUUCGCGGGCAACAGGAAGUUGAAGACGAAUAUAUGAUAUAUUUAUAUUUGGUUGUCAUAUCUUUAUUAAAGAUGGUAUCGAAGAACUUGUGGGCAGGCGGAAGCCAAUCUUGAAACCCAGAUUUCAGAAAAUAAAAUAUAUUAAAAGAAUGUUUACUGAAGAUAGUUGAAA